RNAcentral lists this unclassified non-coding RNA (2065 nucleotides) under uncultured fungus. RNAcentral describes it as "sequence contains 18S rRNA gene, ITS1, 5.8S rRNA gene, ITS2, 28S rRNA gene". The stretch from base 952 to 2065 matches the Rfam family "Eukaryotic large subunit ribosomal RNA", at positions 1 to 961 of the family's 3401-position model. The record is from RNAcentral. Lineage: Eukaryota; Fungi.
GGAAGGAUCAUCACUGUAUUCCGUCCAUUUGAUCUGGGAUUCAAACUCGUCUUAACCUCUAAAUCAUUCACGUGAUGUACGAGGGACGAGCCCAGUCAAACCCAUUGUGAGCUCGUUGAAGUCCAAACAAAAUCAAAAAAAAGGAUAAAAGGAAGAAAUGAAAUCACUUGAUUUCUCUUUCCUUUCUUUUUCUUCUUUUUUUAUUUAAACUCUUAAACUUCAACUCUCAAUAUGAUCAUCGAUAAGCAAUUAUCGACAAACAAUUUUUUUAAAUUUUGCCAAGUCAUUUGAUGAAGCAAAUUUAAAAUAAAAUAAAAAUAACCUUAGACAACUUAUAACAGUGGAUACCUAGGCUCCUAGUUCGAAGAAGAACGCAGCAAACUGCGAUAAGUUAUGUGAAUUGCAGAAUUCCGUGAAUCAUCGAAUUUUUGAACGCAAAUUGCGCCCCGGCGUUGAGCUUGGGCGUGUCUGUUCGAGUGUCAGCAAUAAACAAUCAAAUCUUUUACUGGAUUUGGAGAUGGGAGAUCAAAGACCGGGGCGGGUAAGACCGUCUUGGACCAUUCUUGACCUUCUUAAAUUGAAAUUGUUUUGGAGGAGAAUGCAUUUGUGAUCAAUUUUGAUUCGUCUCACUUGAGCAACCUUUUACGAGGUUAUAGGACGACGUUUCGGACUUGGAUGGCGCGUGUAGCUUCAAUUUGUCAUAGCAAUGUGACUUAUUUGGAAUAAACUCACCCUCCCCUGUGAAAUUAAGUGGACCUAUGUCUGCAUUUUUACUCCAGGGUCGAGAGAUCAUCCUAAAAUCGAAAGACUGUCUAUCAAUUCGUCUCAAGAGAAGCGCUUAGGGCAACUAAACAUUGCCGAUCUAUUGUGGAAUGUAUUCAUUACUCUUGGUCCCGUGGCCCCGACGAUUCCUUCUCGGGUGGUCCCCAUGGACAAAUUUCAUCAAAAUCUCGACCUCGAAUCAGGCAAGACUACGCGCUGAACUUAAGCAUAUUACUAAGCGCAGGAAAAGAAAAUAACAAUGAUUCCCUCAGUAACGGCGAGUGAAGCGGGAAGAGCUCAAACUUAAAAUCUGGGCCCCUUAUGGAGCUCCGAGUUGUAGUUUUUGGAUUGGCAAUUGCGGUAUUGUCGACGUCUAGGCGUAAGUUCUUUGGAACAAGGCAUCAGAGAGGGUGAGAAUCCCGUAUGCAGCCUCGUCGAUGGUGCGUUACGCAUUUGUCUUUCUACGAGUCGGUAUGAUUGGGACUUCAUACCAAAGUAGGAGGUAGUUCUCUUCUAAAGCUAAAUAUUACUAGGAGACCGAUAGCGAAGAAGUAGUGUGAACGAAAGGUGAAAAGAACUUUGAAAAAAAGGUCAAAAGUGCUUGAAGCUGUUAUAAGGGAACGAUAUGUAGCCAGUGAUUGCACGCAGUAAUUCACUCCAUUGGCUGGAAGCGGCGCGGGACGCACGGAGGUGUACGCCACGGAGCGCCCGGUCGCCAAGGAGAAUGGAGGUACUUUGCUGUGUUGCGUGUCAACAUCAGUUCGGUGGCGGCGGAGAAAGGCGAGAGGAAGGUGAGUUGCGUCUUCGGGCGUAACUGUUAUAGCCUCUUGUUGCAUACGUCGCUCUGGACUGUGGCAGAUAAACACGUGCCUCGGCGAGGAAGUCGGUGGACCCGGGUGGUUGGAAGUAUGUCUCUGCUUGCAGGGCAUGCUUCCGACCGGCACGGCAAAGCUGGCCCCAUCAGCGUGUUCGGCAUGUUGACGAAAUGGCUUCAUAUCACCCGUCUUGAAACACGGACCAAGGAGACUAUUAUGUUUGCAAGUAUUUGGGUGGAAAACCCACGUGCACAAUGAAAGUGAACGAUGCCAAGCCGCAAGGCUGCAGCAUCGGCCGACCUUACUUUGGUAAGGAUCGAGUCGGAGCAGACAUGAUGGGACCCGAAAGAUGGUGAACUUAGCGUGCGCAGGGUGAAGCCAGAGGAAACUCUGGUGGAGGCUCGUAGAGAUACUGACGUGCAAAUCGUUCUUCUGACGUGCGUUAAGGGGCGAAAGACUAAUCGAACCAUCUAGUAGCUGGUUCCCAC